GAAAUAACAAAUUGUUACUACCCUGUCAUCUUUGUUGAGCAAAAUGAGGACUGAUGCUACAGCUCUAACGCUUUACUUUUGAAGUGCUUAUCAUCAGCCCCAACAUCUUCAGUAGAGGAACGAAAUAGAGUAGACAGUUGCCUUUUGGACUAUGCUGUUAAGCACAAAUAUCUGCUUCAGCAAGGAUAAUAAGGAGCCCAGCCCCUGAACGGGGAUUUCUUGGCUCGCAUCUAUGCUAGCACAGGAUGCAGUGUAUAAACAAUGGGAAGUUGCAGUCCAUUAUGGUUUCCCUUCCCAAAGGUGGCGUUUUGCAUCGGAUCUCGGCGCCCCACGUUUAAAAUCCCACAAGUUUCCUGCACAGCAGCAUAAAUCCCAGAGCUCUGUGGAGAGGCAGAGAGCCUGGGUCUUCAUAGCACUUGCCUCCACAACCUCAAAAUGACCACAUUCCCCCCCGCCACUAUUGUUUGCUUUUCGCAUGCCAGCUCCCGGGAUACUGGAUCCUUCGCAUGCCUGCUUGCCUUCAAGUCUCUCGACGGCUGCCUCUCAGCCUCUGCAUAUUUACGCACCCGACGAAGCAGGCUCCCGACUUGGCUACCACAGCUCAUGCCGCUACGGAACCAGGGCUCAACUUGAGUGACGGCAGCAAGGAUACUACUGGCCCAAAAAUGGAAACAGGAGGAACUAUCAUCUAUUGAAGAGUGGAGAAUGAAAUUAACAGACUACGCAGAACUAGAUAAAUUAACAGGGAAAGUCCGAAACCAACAAGAUCACAAGUUCACUGAGGACUGGAGUAAAUUUGUGGAUUAUAUGAAAAGCAUAUGUGAUGAACAAAUAACGUUUGUGGGUUUACAGGAAGCUUUGUGAAGAAAUAUGUAUAGAAACAUUGUAAAAAAGGGAAGAGGGGGAGUAGGUGGAUAUUAAGAUAAAAGACAAUGACAAAUUUUGAACUUGCAGUAUAAAGACGAGAACACGGAAGAUUCACGGAUGAACUGAUGGAAGUCAAAAAUAUGUAUUUGUGAUUGUAUUGAAAAUGUAUGACUAAAAAUUCUUUUUUAUUGGAAAUUAAUAAAAAAUAAUUCAAAAAUAAAUAAAUAUUAAGAGUAGAAAACGCAUGUAAGAGAAUGUACAGUUGGGCAGAAGUUCUGCUAGUGGGAUGCCUACUGAUAGCCAACUUUGUAAAGCCUUAAAAUUGGGUAUUUUGAGGGCGGUGGGCAGGUAAAGGAGCAGAGCUUACCUCAUGCUCUCACUUGAUGGAUCUAGGCCCAAUGAAUUAUGCCCCAUUUCCCAAGUGGCAUGAGCACCAAGGCUGCAAAUGUGAUGGUAGCUCCACCACUCCAUUAAGCCCUGCUGCUGCUCGGCCAGGAUUUAGAUUGCAGCGUAAGCCUAUAAUUUCAGCAUGCAGGAGCAUGUGAGUCUGAGGAACAUGUGAUUAUUGCAGCCUACUAAGAAAAAUGAUACUAAAUCAAAUGUGACAAGUGCGUUUGUAGACUGAAGACACAGCUUCUGCUAAUGUUUGCCCUGUUGAAAUUAAUGCUGUGUGCACUGACUAAGUGCUUGAGAAUCAAAACUGAUACCUUAGGCUAACUGUUCAUAUCAUGGCUUUUAGAAUAGAUCUCACAUGAAAAAUACUACUCACCAAUAACAUUAUUUAAAAAUAACCAUUUGAAGCAGAUGUAGAAAAUUUGGAGACUCUGUCAUGUCUAAAGAUAAUAUUUUUGCAAAAUAUAUUCCUAUCUAGGCAAUUUGUCAGUUGUUUCAUAGAAGGUUCUCACUGCAGAGAAAAUGUGUCAGGAUUUCAGUGUUGUGAUUUAUGAUUCUGUCAUAAUGGCAGAUGUUCCCUCAUGUAUCUUUGAUAUUACAAAGCUGGAGCCAUUGUGUUCUUCUCAUAUUGACUAAUAAAAAGAAAGCCAAGAUAACAUCUCAGACAUGUUUAGGUUGCUGAUUUUCCCACUUUGAUACCUUUUUGGUAAGAGCUUAUAGAAUUGAAUUAGAACUGAAUCUUGCAAUGAGUGAUUUUCAUCCUCAAAAUUCACAUGAAAUAAAUCUGCUACAAUUGAUUGUCCAUUUUCUUAAAAACAAAAACUUAAUUUUGUGUAUUGUCUUAUACUGUAUAGGUGUAGUGUCCUGCGUCUACACCUUUUCGCUUCCCUAUUAUUAUUAUUAUUAUUAUUGUUGUUGUUGCUGCUGCUGCAGCAGCAGUUUCAUAAAAUUGACUUUUAAAAUCUGCAAAUGAUUAUUAAUUUAUUAUUACAAAUGCAUUGCGCUGAAUCCUGCUUAAAUAAUUUUUACUUGAAUAAAACUCAUAUAAUUAA
Non-coding RNA from Podarcis muralis (Common wall lizard), 2312 nucleotides. Lineage: Eukaryota; Metazoa; Chordata; Lepidosauria; Squamata; Lacertidae. The record is from RefSeq and is a predicted model, not a curated record.